Molecule: ribosomal RNA, 521 nt
Filed under: Salmonella enterica
Lineage: Bacteria; Pseudomonadati; Pseudomonadota; Gammaproteobacteria; Enterobacterales; Enterobacteriaceae
Description: partial 23S ribosomal RNA
Rfam family: Bacterial large subunit ribosomal RNA
Source: RNAcentral
UAGUGAUCCGGUGGUUCUGAAUGGAAGGGCCAUCGCUCAACGGAUAAAAGGUACUCCGGGGAUAACAGGCUGAUACCGCCCAAGAGUUCAUAUCGACGGCGGUGUUUGGCACCUCGAUGUCGGCUCAUCACAUCCUGGGGCUGAAGUAGGUCCCAAGGGUAUGGCUGUUCGCCAUUUAAAGUGGUACGCGAGCUGGGUUUAGAACGUCGUGAGACAGUUCGGUCCCUAUCUGCCGUGGGCGCUGGAGAACUGAGGGGGGCUGCUCCUAGUACGAGAGGACCGGAGUGGACGCAUCACUGGUGUUCGGGUUGUCAUGCCAAUGGCACUGCCCGGUAGCUAAAUGCGGAAGAGAUAAGUGCUGAAAGCAUCUAAGCACGAAACUUGCCCCGAGAUGAGUUCUCCCUGAGACUUUAGGUCUCCUGAAGGAACGUUGAAGACGACGACGUUGAUAGGCCGGGUGUGUAAGCGCAGCGAUGCGUUGAGCUAACCGGUACUAAUGAACCGUGAGGCUUAACCUUACA